AGUCUGGUGCCAGCAGCCGCGGUAAUUCCAGCUCCAAUAGCGUAUAUUAAAGUUGUUGUGGUUAAAAAGCUCGUAGUUGGAUGUGUGUGACGCGGCGUCGGUUCACCGCUCUCGACAGGCGGUGUCAACUGGCGCGUCGCAGAACCGCCCUGCCGGUGGCGGUUCGAGCCCGGUCGCAGCCGCUCUGACCGCGCGCCGCUCUCCUUCGGGGGGGCGGGCGUGCCAGGCGCGCGCUCGGCCACUCGGGCGUCGACCGUCGGCCCCGGGGUCUCGCCAGCCCCGGUGUUGUCCUGUCGCGGCGCUCCCUCGGGUCACAUGUAAGGUGUCCGCCCGGGUGGGGGGCGUCGAGGCGGACCGGCACGUUUACUUUGAACAAAUUAGAGUGCUCAAAGCAGGCAAACAAAGUGUGCGACGGGCCGCAAGGCCCGGGCGCCGCCCGAAUACUGUGUGCAUAGAAUAACUGAAGAGGACGUCGGUUCCAGUUUACAGAGGUGUGAAGUGGUUUAACGGAACCCGACGUAAUGAUUAACAGGGACGGCGCGGGGGCAUUCGUACUGCGACGUUAGAGGUGAAAUUCUUGGAUCGUCGCAAGACGAACCGAAGCGAAAGCGUUUGCCAAGUACGUCCCCGUUGAUCAAGAACGAAAGUUAGAGGCUCGAAGGCGAUCAGACACCGCCCUAGUUCUAACCAUAAACGAUGUCAGCCAGCGAUCCGCCAACGUUCCUCCGCUGACUUGGCGGGCAGCUUCCGGGAAACCAAAGCUUUUGGACUCCAGGGGAAGUAUGGUUGCAAAGCUGAAACUUAAAGGAAUUGACGGAAGGACACCACCAGGAGUGGAGCCUGCGGCUUAAUUUGACUCAACACGGGAAAUCUCACCAGGCCCGGACACCGGAGGGAUUGACAGAUUGAGAGCUCUUUCUUGAUUCGGUGGGUGGUGGUGCAUGGCCGUUCUUAGUUGGUGGAGCGAUUUGUCUGGUUAAUUCCGAUAACGAACGAGACUCUUUCCUGCUGACUAGUUGACAGUGUAUCGACUCCGCCGGUCGGCGGGGCCGGGGCCCACCGUGCCGUUCGUUCGCGUCGCGCGCGUUCCCGCUCUCGGGCGGGGCGUGCGGUCGCGGCGGCGGCGCGGCCCGGUUCUCCGUGCCGCGGCGAGAGCUACCUGCAACCCAUAUAUAAUCUUCUCAGAGGGACAGACGGCGUCAAGCCGUACGAGAUUGAGCAAUAACAGGUCUGUGAUGCCCUCAGAUGUUCUGGGCCGCACGCGCGCUACACUGAAGGAAUCAGCGCGUCCUAUGCCCUGGGCCGAGAGGCUCGGGUAACCGCCUGAACCUCCUUCGUGACAGGGAUCGGGGCCUGCAAUUUUUCCCCGUGAACGAGGAAUUCCCAGUAAGCGCGAGUCAUAAGCUCGCGCUGAUUACGUCCCUGUCCUUUGUACACACCGCCCGUCGCUACUACCGAUCGAAUGAUUUGGUGAGGUCUUCGGACCGGUGGCGCGGACGGACGCGCCUCGUGCGCCCCGUCCGACGUUCAUCGGAAAGAUGCCCGAACUCGAUCAUUUAGAGGAAGUAAAAGUCGUAACAAGGUUUCCGUAGGUGAACCUGCGGAAG
RNAcentral lists this ribosomal RNA (1607 nucleotides) under Diaphorina citri (Asian citrus psyllid). RNAcentral describes it as "SSU rRNA". It matches the Rfam family "Eukaryotic small subunit ribosomal RNA", at positions 558 to 1823 of the family's 1831-position model. The record is from RNAcentral. Lineage: Eukaryota; Metazoa; Arthropoda; Insecta; Hemiptera; Psyllidae.